UAGGGAAUCUUCGGCAAUGGACGGAAGUCUGACCGAGCAACGCCGCGUGAGUGAAGAAGGUUUUCGGAUCGUAAAGCUCUGUUGUUAGAGAAGAACGUUGGUAGGAGUGGAAAAUCUACCAAGUGACGGUAACUAACCAGAAAGGGACGGCUAACUACGUGCCAGCAGCCGCGGUAAUACGUAGGUCCCGAGCGUUGUCCGGAUUUAUUGGGCGUAAAGCGAGCGCAGGCGGUUCUUUAAGUCUGAAGUUAAAGGCAGUGGCUUAACCAUUGUACGCUUUGGAAACUGGAGGACUUGAGUGCAGAAGGGGAGAGUGGAAUUCCAUGUGUAGCGGUGAAAUGCGUAGAUAUAUGGAGGAACACCGGUGGCGAAAGCGGCUCUCUGGUCUGUAACUGACGCUGAGGCUCGAAAGCGUGGGGAGCAAACAGGAUUAGAUACCCUGGUAGUCCACGCCGUAAACGAUGAGUGCUAGGUGUUAGGCCCCUUCCGGGGCUUAGUGCCGCAGCUAACGCAUUAAGCACUCCGCCUGGGGAGUACGACCGCAAGGUUG
Molecule: ribosomal RNA, 550 nt
Filed under: uncultured bacterium
Lineage: Bacteria
Description: bacterial SSU rRNA
Rfam family: Bacterial small subunit ribosomal RNA
Source: RNAcentral